CAUCAUGCAUUUUGACAAUUUAUCACAGGAGGGAGUUGUCGUUUAGGACGACUGUAGAUUUUUUAUUUAUUUUCUUUUCGUAUAAGUAGGAAAACUAGUAAGAAGUGGUUUCAAAGUGUUCAGAGUAAAUUAAAGAUUCCGCCUAUUUUGAUAAAAGCUCCUAUCAACCAUGUGUUACGUUAUAAUAACUGGUAGAAGUCUAGUAUGGCUCCUGCUGAGUUUGGUUGCAUUUAUGUUCAUUUUGACCGGUAUAAUGACGCCGAAAUGGCUUUUGGCGCAACCAGUAGUAUUAAACGAGAAUAAUAAGACAACCUUUUACAUCCCAAGUGUCGGAAUUUAUAAUAGAUGCAUUCGUAUGGAAAGAGAUCCGAACAACUGUGCAUCAUUCUCCUUCUACGGUCUGGCUACGGACGCCACGGUCUACCCCACCCCUUGGAAGGCUGCUAUGUUCUUCUUAUCACUCUGUGCAGCGAUUCAGUUCGCGACAGUCCUGGGCGGCGUGAUGGCGUGUUGUGUGCAGGCUGUCUUCAAGAAGAGCGUCAUAUCGCUGGCUGGAGCCACGCAGGCUUUGGGAGGUCUAUUCGGCGUGCUAGGGUUGCUCCUGUACCCGUGGGGGUGGGGAUCUCAGCGUGUCAAGCGAAUGUGUGGCGAGUACUCUGAGCCUUACAUACCCGGAGACUGUUCUAUAGGCUGGGCCCUAUUCGUGACGGCGACGGGCGUGGCGCUGGUGUUCCUCGCCAGUGCGCUCUCGAAGACAGCGGACAAGGCAGCCAACUCGGACAAGGUGCAGUUCCAGAUGGACGAAGGAAAACAGCUCAUAUGUCUUGCUUGAUUGUGGCGGUUGACUGUAAGGUCGCAUUUAUAGCUAUAGGAGAGGCGAUUCGUUCGAAAUAAUGGAAUUUUGUUGACAUAAAAUACAACAUACAUAAACAGCCUAUAUACUGUAAGUCUCCGAAUAAUGCAUCAGAGACAGUUUUUGGAUGUUCAGUCAUGAGCCAUAUCAUGUACCCACUUUAGAACCAUGUCGCACUAUCAUAUUUGACAUUUAAUGAGACUUACGAUUUAAAUUGUCAAAAAUGUUAAAGUGACAUGGUUGCAAAGUGUAUACAUAUUAGUACUCGUGACCGUUCAACUCUACCGGGGUAAAUUAUAUUCCAUGUUAGAAGGUUUUAUAAUAAUAAACAUAAAUGGCGAAUGGUUGGUUGGUUGUAUGUAUUGUACACCUCUCCUACCCUUUUGGGGCUAUAGGCGUGAUGCUAUGUUUAUAUAAAUUUCAUUUCUUCGAACGAAUCUGCUUUUUUACCUUUAGAGUUCCAAAAUUAUUAUUCGAUCAUAACCCUGUGACUUCCCCAAUGUAUUUUUUAUAUUUUUAUACUCGCGAGGCUAUUGCCAUAGAUUCUCAUUAAAAAUUAAAAAAUAAACAUGACAAUAAUUUCAUCACAUCAUACAUACAUAAUAUAGGUACUGCCAUGGUAUAAGAAAACCAACCGAGUCUACAUGACAAUAAAAAUUUAUUGAGCACUCUGAUCAAUAAACGAUACGAAUGCUAUCUACGUAGAUGGACGUCAAACGGCUAUUGGUCGAAGGCCUCGAUAUAAUUCGCGCCGGCGCAGUUACCGUGCCUACAGGGGGGUUAAAAUGGCCACAUCGAAGCAAUUCAUCU
This 1663-nucleotide unclassified non-coding RNA is filed under the name Pectinophora gossypiella (pink bollworm). RNAcentral describes it as "lHFPL tetraspan subfamily member 2 protein". Lineage: Eukaryota; Metazoa; Arthropoda; Insecta; Lepidoptera; Gelechiidae. The record is from RNAcentral.